AUUGAACGCUGGCGGCAGGCCUAACACAUGCAAGUCGAGCGGAGGAGACAAGCUUGCUUCUCUUCAGGGCGGCGGACGGGGGAGUACUGCCUACGAAUUUGCAAGGUCGGCGGGGACCACGUGCGGAAACGGACGCUAAUACCGCAUACGUCCCUCGGGCGCAAGCAGGGGACCCUCGGGCGUUGCGCGUUCAGAUGGGCGUAGGUCGGAUGAGAUAGUUGGUGGGGUAGUGGCACACCAAGGCGACGUUCCGUAACUGGUCUGAGAGGAUGAUCAGUUACACUGGAACUGAGACACGGUCCAGACUCCUACGGGGGGCAGCAGUGGGGAAUAUUGGACAAUGGGCGAGAGCCUGAUCCAGCCAUGCCGCGUGUGUGAAGAAGGUCUUCGGAUUGUAAAGCGCUUUAAGUUGGGAGGAAGGGCAGUAAAUUAAUACGUUGCGGUUUUGACGUUACCGACAGAAUAAGCACCGGCUAACUCUGUGCCAGCCGCCGCCGUAA
RNAcentral lists this ribosomal RNA (500 nucleotides) under uncultured bacterium. RNAcentral's name for it is "partial 16S ribosomal RNA". It matches the Rfam family "Bacterial small subunit ribosomal RNA", at positions 30 to 523 of the family's 1533-position model. The record is from RNAcentral.